Molecule: long non-coding RNA, 1030 nt
Filed under: Homo sapiens (human)
Lineage: Eukaryota; Metazoa; Chordata; Mammalia; Primates; Hominidae
Description: long non-coding RNA NONHSAT159249.1
Rfam family: Metastasis associated lung adenocarcinoma transcript 1 (bases 471-565)
Source: RNAcentral
UUUAAUAAUAAUUUAAAACUACUAUAGAAACUGCAGAGCAAAGGAAGUGGCUUAAUGAUCCUGAAGGGAUUUCUUCUGAUGGUAGCUUUUGUAUUAUCAAGUAAGAUUCUAUUUUCAGUUGUGUGUAAGCAAGUUUUUUUUUAGUGUAGGAGAAAUACUUUUCCAUUGUUUAACUGCAAAACAAGAUGUUAAGACUUUUUUCAGAUAACAUCUUCUGAGUCAUAACCAGCCUGGCAGUAUGAUGGCCUAGAUGCAGAGAAAACAGCUCCUUGGUGAAUUGAUAAGUAAAGGCAGAAAAGAUUAUAUGUCAUACCUCCAUUGGGGAAUAAGCAUAACCCUGAGAUUCUUACUACUGAUGAGAACAUUAUCUGCAUAUGCCAAAAAAUUUUAAGCAAAUGAAAGCUACCAAUUUAAAGUUACGGAAUCUACCAUUUUAAAGUUAAUUGCUUGUCAAGCUAUAACCACAAAAAUAAUGAAUUGAUGAGAAAUACAAUGAAGAGGCAAUGUCCAUCUCAAAAUACUGCUUUUACAAAAGCAGAAUAAAAGCGAAAAGAAAUGAAAAUGUUACACUACAUUAAUCCUGGAAUAAAAGAAGCCGAAAUAAAUGAGAGAUGAGUUGGGAUCAAGUGGAUUGAGGAGGCUGUGCUGUGUGCCAAUGUUUCGUUUGCCUCAGACAGAAACUUUGUCUGCGAACACUCUUUAAUGGACCAGAUCAGGAUUUGAGCGGAAGAACGAAUGUAACUUUAAGGCAGGAAAGACAAAUUUUAUUCUUCAUAAAGUGAUGAGCAUAUAAUAAUUCCAGGCACAUGGCAAUAGAGGCCCUCUAAAUAAGGAAUAAAUAACCUCUUAGACAGGUGGGAGAUUAUGAUCAGAGUAAAAGAGAAUGCAGUUGUCUUGACUUCAGGUCUGUCUGUUCUGUUGGCAAGUAAAUGCAGUACUGUUCUGAUCCCGCUGCUAUUAGAAUGCAUUGUGAAACGACUGGAGUAUGAUUAAAAGUUGUGUUCCCCAAUGCUUGGAGUAGUGAUUGUUG